RNAcentral lists this ribosomal RNA (519 nucleotides) under Triticum aestivum (bread wheat). RNAcentral describes it as "partial small subunit ribosomal RNA". Lineage: Eukaryota; Viridiplantae; Streptophyta; Magnoliopsida; Poales; Poaceae. The record is from RNAcentral.
AUGGCCCCGGCGAACCCUCCCUACAUCGACCACGGGCGCCGGCCUCGUUCCAGCCACAUGGUGAUCGCCUCCACGCCGGAGAUGGAGCAGCAGGUCUUCCUACUGCAGUAGCAUGCGGUGGUGGUCACCGCGAUGAGCAAGCUGCACGCGGCCAACCCCCUCUCCAUCGGUCGGGCCAUCGAGCGGGAGUUUCAGAUCCCCUCGCACCUUCUCCGCGUCACCAGCCACGAUCCUGAAGACUUCUUCAUCCACCUCACCAUGCUGGCGCACAAGGAGCUCGUCGUCCGACGCGGCUCGAUCAUCGUGGACGGCGUCUCCUUCCUCCUGGAGCCGUGGAGGGAGGACACGCACGCGAUCCACGACACCUGGAUGCUGCACGUCCGUGUCGUCAUGGAGAAGCUGCCGAUGCAGCUGUGGACCCUGGAGGGCGCAAAGGAGGCGCUGGGCGACAAGGUGAUCAUCGACCGCCUCGACAGCCGCACCUUCGAGCGCGCGGACACGAAGCUUUUCGCCGUCUGG